Oreochromis aureus is the source of this 1894-nucleotide long non-coding RNA. NCBI's taxonomy places the organism in Eukaryota, Metazoa, Chordata, Actinopteri, Cichliformes, Cichlidae. The record is from Ensembl.
UACAUGAAGACCAAAGCUGUCGGAUUAAAACUUCCAAAGAAAGAGGUCAUUGCUAUUUAGUGGCACCUCUACCUUCCCAAGUCAGGUACAACUGACUGGUCUUUGCUAUUGGGAGGAGAAAUAUGCAGGAUUUGUUUAGACAGCGUGGUUAUGCAAUGUUGAAUAAAGUUAUCCUUGAGCAACAUGUGUUAUGUGAACCCAGUGGUAUAUUUACAGGCUUUAUUGGUGGGCUCCACUGAAGUAAAAUUAAGGUAAAGUUCAACCAGUUCAACCAUUUUUUUUACAUUUAAUCUCAUGUGGAAUAAGGUUAGUUAAAAAGGUUAAUUACAAACAGCAUAUACUAACAAUCCAGUGUAUAUUUAGAAAAAUAUUUUUUCCUGGUUAUUUUAUUUCAUAAUGAAUCAGUGUGUUAUGUAUGCUUCUCUUUUUUCCACUGCCCAGAUGGAAGCUAUGAGGUCUCGGGCACAUAUAAAGGAAUGCAUGCGUGGAGGAGAAGAGAUCAAUAGAUGUGGCACAGUGUGCUGAACUCUAUUACCAGAAACAGGAUUUCAAACCUCAACUGGGCAAAUAUGUAACAAUGUAGAAAAGAAAAACUUUGUAGGAGCGUCCAUCAAUUAAAGAUUUUGAAAUCUGCACCAAACCAGGGUCCUCGUACUCUAAAGCCCAGCAGGGCAGCCAACAAGGCUUGUUUUUAGAUUUUUUUAAAAUUUUCAGACACUGUGGAGGUAUGUAAGAACGACCCGAGAGCUCGUCAUAUUGUAACUGGUUUACAAAUUAGUUUGAUUGCUGUGUUAUUGUGUUCAGAACUGCAACUCACUUAUUGCAUACACUGUUCCAAAAAAUAGUAAUGUCAAAGUAUAUUACUGUAAUUUUUUACAGUUUUGUACUGUCUUCCUAGGAUAUCAUUCAAUUUACAUAAGCAGACUGUGAUCUUACAUGUCAAAGGUAAAACAACAUAACAUCACUGUAAAUAUAGUAAAACACAAUUUACUUGUUUCUUAAAUACAUUUUUUUCGUACAUAUGCAUAUUUAGAUCUUAAAAAUACAUCCAGAAACAGCUAGUUCUCUCCCAUCAUGCCUUGGGACAUGUGCUGCUGUUUAGUUGUUCUUGUUUUAUUGUUUAUGGUUAGUUACUUUUAACUGUUAACUUGAAUGUUGUGUUUACGCCGUGGUGCAGAGUCACUGACAGUUGUUGUUUUGUAGCGAGAUGUCACUCAUGUACCAUGAGUGACUUCUGUUCUGCUGUUGUUGAAGGUUGAGGCACAUGGAAACACUGGAAAGUGUGUAAAUAAAGAGCUCCCCCUGCCAGCUUGGGGUUGAAUAACAAGCUCAAUCUCUCUCUUUGAGCUAAUUAGUUAAGAUUCUUUUGCAUGCCACAAUGUAAAUCAGUUCACGGCCACGCUGUGCUAAUUAUAUUUUUUUUUAAAAUAAAUGUAGAGGUGGGAAUUGCAAUUAAUAUAAAUCUCAAAGUAUUCACAACAGAAAUAGGCCUCUGCACCUGGGGUGAGGGUGUGGCCAUGAAAACAAUGUGAUAUGCCAUUGGAUGUUGGGACACAUAAUAACAUGACACUAAGCAUCGGCCAAUGAAUGUGAACUAACAACAACAAGGUCGCGGGUAUGGCUGCACUGUAGGAAAGAAUCGUGCAUUUUACAGUUUUGUUCUGUUCUUCUAGAAUAUCAUUAAAGUUACGUAAAUAGACUUUGACUUCACAUUUCAAAUGUAAAUUAACGUCAAAUCACUGUAAUGUAAUGAAACAUAAUUGUCAUGAUCAUUAAAUGUAUCUAUCUGUACAUAUGCAUAUUUAGAUUGUUAAAAUACAUUCACAAAUGUAUCAUGAUUCCACAAAUAUCUGUCCAUUAUUUGAAAGACUGAACUGUUGGAUUCAAAUGUAAU